CACGGGCUCCGUGUCGACGGCGGCCAGACUUCAUGCCAAGGGACGCAUCGCCUCGCCGGCCUGUAGAAGCUGCGGUGACGCUGAGACCCUCGAGCACCUACUGUGCAUCUGUCCUACAUUAGCCCAGGAGCGCGCCCAAGUCUCUGCCACCUACCGACGGUAUGGACUCCCGGCUACCUCAGAAACACACCUGCUCUUCCCGGCCCGCUACCACCUUCCACCACAGGCAAGCCUGCUUGAAUAUGUGUACACAAACGGGCUCCUAGACCGCCACUAGACUUCGGCCUCCCAUGAGCCUCUGCCUCGCUCGCCGGCCAUCGCCUCCGGAUGAUGCUGACACAUGCUGCCUGACACCUACUCUCCUUCUCCCCCUCUAUCCCAUCAUCUUUCAUCCCUGGCCCCCAUCCCCAAUACGCUGCGCCGUGCUCCCAUAUGGGCGACAGAAUUAAACGCACUUUCCUUCUCCCGAAUCACGAAGAAGCAGCAGCAGCAGGAGCGAAACGCCGGUGUCGCAGUGACCACAGCGGUUUCACAGAGCCACCGCGCUGCGAUACUUCGGCGGCAGUCAAGUAGACACGCUCGAAAUUUGUCAGGCAUCUUAUUCCGUGGUGGAAACACUGGGAGGCAGGACGUUUGAAAAAACGGCCACGGCCGCCCACCAGGUCGUGGGUUCGUUAUGCCAGUUGUGCGUCAUUCUAAUGCGUUCUGUACAUUUAUACUGGAUAUUAACUGGAGUCAUUUAGCUGUGCUGAUGCAUUUGACGUGUGUUUUUCAUCAGUGCUUCGUGACAUCGGCUGUAUUGCGUGUUUUCGCCGACGGCUUACUACCAGAAUGGCGGGAUCUGCGUUUGCCGCCUUCGUUUUUCUCGGUGCGUCUUUGUACGUCGCACGUUCGGAAAACUUUUUCCAGUAAAUGAAAUAACUUGCACUUCGUUUUUUUUUUUUUUUUGUCAACAAUGUGAAUAUUUUUAGGUGUUACCUGCGACAAUUCUGGAUGGAUGGGCCCUUCUGUCCUGAGGGUUUUUGUCAUCUUUACGUUUACACGAGGGUUCUGCUUGUUAGUCUUUGUAGUUAACGUAGCACGAACCAAACGAAGGGAGUGCAUUCGGAGGGGACGCGCUGGCUCUAAUCGUGACCCAGAGUGAACUCGCCUUAUUUUGUGUCCUUUUGUUCUUGCAUGGGUUACAGCGUUGCGUGCGCGCGUGUCAGUGCCUAUGCAGCUUGCAGGAUUCCCACUUUCUAGCAAAACAAUAAUAUAACUGCAACGUUUACUUCGUCUAUGCAAUUCCAAAUGCAGUCGGCUGCUGAUGUAAAAGUUUCGCUGCUGUCUUGUUUUAAAUAAGCAGCAAAACCAUUGGCCUAGUAGGUGCUUCAUCUGGGAUUGCAAUCACGACUGCUUGGAAUUUAUUAAUGAAUGACUGCGGGCCAUCUCAUUUGUAAUUGCAAAUCUGUCUUUCAACUGACUUGGUGCUCUCUUAUUUUGUUCCUUUCCCUCCAUAGACGGCUCGACAUCCUUCUUGUCCCUUGGCGCUAGCUGAAUGACGGGACCUCAUGAUCAGUGUAUUGCUUGCCUAUGUCUACAAGAACCUUCACGCGUGGCCUGGGACAGCAAGAUUUUGUGGGCAGCCAGUGCUCUCCUACGAAGGCUGGCCUGCUCUGGCAGCGGCGGCAAUCAUCUACAAGAUUUAUCCAUGAUCACCUUUGCUGCUAUUUGUCACUCCUUUUAAUUACACCUUCUGCAUCUUUUCUCAUUUAUUAGAUAAUAAAGUAUGGCUAUGUGACAUGGUGAGAAGUACAUGUCCUGCUGCA
Molecule: long non-coding RNA, 1808 nt
Organism: Dermacentor andersoni
Lineage: Eukaryota; Metazoa; Arthropoda; Arachnida; Ixodida; Ixodidae
Source: RefSeq, a predicted model, not a curated record